RNAcentral lists this ribosomal RNA (478 nucleotides) under uncultured bacterium. Its description in RNAcentral is "partial 16S ribosomal RNA". It matches the Rfam family "Bacterial small subunit ribosomal RNA", at positions 28 to 523 of the family's 1533-position model. The record is from RNAcentral.
GACGAACGCUGGCGGCGUGCUUAACACAUGCAAGUCGAACGGUAAGGCCCUUCGGGGUACACGAGUGGCGAACGGGUGAGUAACACGUGGGUGAUCUGCCCUGCACUUCGGGAUAAGCCUGGGAAACUGGGUCUAAUACCGGAUAGGACUCCGGACUGCAUGGUCUGGGGUGGAAAGCUUUUGCGGUGUGGGAUGGGCCCGCGGCCUAUCAGCUUGUUGGUGGGGUGAUGGUCUACCAAGGCGACGACAGGUAGCCGGCCUGCGAGGGUGACCGGCCACACGGGGACUGAGAUACGGCCCAGACUCCUACGGGAGGCAGCAGUGGGGAAUAUUGCACAAUGGGCGCAAGCCUGAUGCAGCGACGCCGCGUGAGGGAUGACGGCCUUCGGGUUGUAAACCUCUUUCAGCAUCGACGAAGCGAAAGUGACGGUAGGUGCAGAAGAAGGACCGGCCAACUACGUGCCAGCAGCCGCCGUAA